GUUGAAACAAGGCCGUUUUCUUUCAGUCGCGGAAUUUUUGAAAUAUUUUGUAUUUUGUACUUAUUUUUUCACAAGUAAUUGAUGAGUUAUAGACAUGAAAAUGAAACAGUUGUUGUCGUCGUUAUGUGGUUACAGACAAUGAACUCCCGUUGUUUCAGUAUGCUGUAGAACUGUGAAUGAAACGUGCUUUGUGAGCUCGCUAUCUGCGUGUAUAUGUUGUAAUCCACGCCACUGCCAUUACGAUUGCUCAAAUAUCAGGUGAAAUUUGAUUUUGUGAACAAAUGAUGCAUGAUGUAGUUUAAAUUUCGUCAAACGAACAAUUUAAGUGAAUUGUAAACAAGUUAUGAAGUGAACAGCCAGCGAACACCUUCGUGUGCCAUGCGGCCGAUUUUUGUGUGGGCCGACUAUUGUAAUGAUAUUGAAAUCCACUACAGGAAUUGCCGAUCACGUCUAGAUUAUGAAAAAGAUCGCAUUGGUGUAUGUUUGAGGGCCACUUCCAGAAAAUCUUAGAACCCACAUGUGUAAACAAUUUCUGAAAGGAAUUGCUGUGAAUUUCAAACGCCUUCUAAAUGCAGGAAUGGAUUUGUGUGACGAACGCAGGAAGAAAAGUGUGACUGGUACCCACCAACACGGCAGGCUAACGUAAAAUCAAAUGCGGUCGACCAAAGUACCGUAUUGGGCAUUACCAACAUUACUAGGGAAGAAUCGAGACAGUUAUUUCCGCGUUCAUCGUGAUUUAUUUCCGAUUCCCUGGACUAUGCGACGGAAGCAAUCGCGUCAUCCGAAUGUGAAGAGCUACAGUACACAUGUGCGGACACCUUCAUUAUUCAGCCGUCUCUAGUGGAUAAUGGGCAGCUGUGGUUUCGGACUAGUGACCAGGUUGUUUUAUCUUUACUUUUGGCCAUAUUUUU
This is a long non-coding RNA of Daphnia carinata, 911 nucleotides long. RefSeq lists it as uncharacterized. The transcript has 3 exons. The record is from RefSeq and is a predicted model, not a curated record. NCBI's taxonomy places the organism in Eukaryota, Metazoa, Arthropoda, Branchiopoda, Diplostraca, Daphniidae.